This 468-nucleotide ribosomal RNA is filed under the name uncultured bacterium. Its description in RNAcentral is "partial 16S ribosomal RNA". It matches the Rfam family "Bacterial small subunit ribosomal RNA", at positions 28 to 507 of the family's 1533-position model. The record is from RNAcentral.
GACGAACGCUGGCGGCGUGCUUAACACAUGCAAGUCGAACGGAAAGGCCCUGCUUUUGUGGGGUGCUCGAGUGGCGAACGGGUGAGUAACACGUGAGUAACCUGCCCUUGACUUUGGGAUAACUUCGGGAAACUGGGGCUAAUACCGGAUAGGAGCUCCUGCUGCAUGGUGGGGGUUGGAAAGUUUCGGCGGUUGGGGAUGGACUCGCGGCUUAUCAGCUUGUUGGUGGGGUAGUGGCUUACCAAGGCUUUGACGGGUAGCCGGCCUGAGAGGGUGACCGGCCACAUUGGGACUGCGAUACGGCCCAGACUCCUACGGGAGGCAGCAGUGGGGAAUAUUGCACAAUGGGCGGAAGCCUGAUGCAGCAACGCCGCGUGCGGGAUGACGGCCUUCGGGUUGUAAACCGCUUUCGCCUGUGACGAAGCGUGAGUGACGGUAAUGGGUAAAGAAGCACCGGCUAACUACGUG